RNAcentral lists this transfer RNA (55 nucleotides) under Heterakis dispar. Its description in RNAcentral is "tRNA-Cys". Lineage: Eukaryota; Metazoa; Nematoda; Chromadorea; Rhabditida; Heterakidae. The record is from RNAcentral.
GGAUUCUUAGUAUAUUUAAGUAUACUUGAUUGCAGAUCAGGUGGUUUAGAGUCUU